RNAcentral lists this ribosomal RNA (214 nucleotides) under uncultured bacterium. RNAcentral's name for it is "partial 16S ribosomal RNA". It matches the Rfam family "Bacterial small subunit ribosomal RNA", at positions 524 to 734 of the family's 1533-position model. The record is from RNAcentral.
CACGUAGGGUGCGAGCGUUGUCCGGAAUUAUUGGGCGUAAAGAGCUCGUAGGCGGUGUGUCGCGUCGGCCGUGAAAACCUGCAGCUUAACUGUGGGCUUGCGGUCGAUACGGGCAUCACUGGAGUUCGGCAGGGGAGACUGGAAUUCCUGGUGAUAGCGGUGAAAUGCGCAGAUAUCAGGAGGAACACCGGUGGCGGAAGGCGGGUCUCUGGGC